GCAAAAAGUUCUAAAAUAUCAAUGAUUAUCAUGAAAGCCAAAAAAAAAAAAGAUUGGAUGAAAGAUGAGCAACAUGCAAUUAAUGUUCUGAUUCUUUCAAGAUGUUGCCUAUAGGCAUAUUUAACCCAUGUCCCACAAUCAGUGUUUACAGGUAGGCCUAACUGGAAUCUGAGCCUGUGCAUUGAAUUACCCGAAAAGCAAACACAUGCAUUAUUGUCAACAUGCAGUAGCACUGAGCACUACAAAGAAGUUGCUUAUUUGGAUACAAAGACCAAUCCUAAGCCAGCUUUUGCUUCAGUUGGAAAUUGCCCGCUCAAAUUAACGCUUUCACAAACAAUGCAUCAUUUGGGUCAUCAUUUCGCUGUGUGAUACGAUCAGGGAAGCAAGUCUGAAGUUAUUCUACUGAAAGCCUGUAUCUUUUGCCUGUUUUCAAGAAUCAGUCGAACCAUAUCGAAAAAUUCAAAGAAUGGCAAGAAGAAGCAUACCAAUCAUCUGUGACUAUAGACGAUAGAGGUCAGGAAGAAAGAGAAGAAGCAAUGACGAAAGCAGUAGGCCCAUCCUUGGUAACAACAUGACUUCUUCAGGGAAAGUUUAAUGAUCUCUUUGUGUCACCAGAACUGAGAAUCCCGUACACAUCCAGACGGACACGGAACACAAUCCUCACCAUCACCACAUCACUCGACCUUCUGUCAGAGGACACGAUGUCGAUCUCUUCGUUUUAUAUCUUCUAUUUUCAAUAUCCCACUUGCCUAGUAAGACUCUCAUAUUUAUUCAAAAGAUCUUAUUAGAUAUUCAGGAUGGAGACAACAUUCCAUACACGGCCAUAUUUGAAUUUUAAAAAAUCAAACAUGCAGUGAGUUAAGAUAAUUAAGCUUCUUUAUCUAUCUGUGUUAAUUCUUUAUUGCUGAAAUCUAGUAUAAUCAACACUCCAGUGUCCUAAUAACUUUGGUUAAGGUUUGUUCCAUAACAAUAUCAGAAUUAUCUUAAAUCUGUAUAUUAUAAAAUGUUGGUUUUCACAAUUUCAAAUCUAAAUAGUGCUUUCUUAAUCAGAUGCCAAGUAUAUUAUUGGAUGUUCUGGGUAUACAUAUGACUAAGUUUGAAAAAGUUUCUUUUUGUAUAAUCAACAAAUGCAAAUGUUUGUGUUAUGACAUUACAGAGCAAAAUAUUUAGUUCUUUCAUAAUGCAUUAGGAUUUAUUUGGACAGAAACAGUUCGUACAUACAAAAUUCUCUAAUUUGUAUUAUCUACAUAUCACCCUUUUCACAAAGGAAUUUAUCUGACUAUUUGUAUUAUGGAUUUUUUCAUCAUUCUGUCACUCGAGUACAAACCAAAAUUUUUCCCUAUAUACCUUGAAUUUGUAUCAAAAUUAUUGUUUUGAUAUUUUCAUGAGGAUCAUAAUAACAUAUACUGAUACUGCAAUGUACAAAACUCUACAUCGAACAAAAGUAAGCCAAAUAUACUUCCAGAAAUAAUGAAGUUGUCAAAUGUAUAUUUUUAUAUUUGAAGUCCUUCAAUUGAAUAUCAACCUACAUUCACCUAUUGCCAUAUUGUUUUCAACAAAAUAUACAUGUAUUCCCUGUAUCGAGAAGGAAAUCUAAUUAAUGAUUAUAAUUACAAUUUUGAUAAUUUUCUUUGAUUUUUUAUGCGAAUUCAUUUUGAUUUACUUUUUUCUGCCAUGAUUGUAUUUAGUGUAUAUAAAUAUGCAAUAUUUUUAACGCUUUUCUAAUGUUUUCAAGUUCAGGCCUGUCUCGAGUGGGGUUUCCUCUGGAAUGUACAUGCAAACUAUGCUAAGUGUAUUGAUUUUGAAUAUUUAGUAUAUAAUGCUUUAUUCGUUUCUUUCCUCUGUUACUUGUUUUACCGGUUUUUUUUAAUCUACGAUUUAUUCUAAAAUAUGUACAUUUUCUAUUACUUUCUUUUGUAAUAUAUUUUGAAAAGAUUUUUUUAUCUCAUUACAUAAAUUGAAAGAAAGAAUUUGAAUAUGAUGGUUUACAUAACCUUGUUAAAAGAAAAACAAAUCGUCAAAUAAUCGUAGUAUGAAGUGCGCAUUAAACUGCACUUCCUAAAUAAUGUUAUGUUUAAAUCUAGAAGGAACAUCUUCAUUUGGAAAAGUAAAUAGGUUAUAGAUUUUGCAUAUAUGUUUGGAAGUUUAAUUUCAUUAGCAGUCAGAUGAAAUAAGGUUGAUAUUAUUUUCUUGUGAACAAAUAACAAAUUCAAAACAUUUUAUUGUAAAGAAUGCAUUUAUUAAUGAAUACUGUCAAGGAGGUAUUUUUUCUAUUUUAAUAGUGAGGAAUAAUUUGUCUAAAAUUUGGUAUAUGCUCUAGCCCAUCUGGAUGCCAUUACUUUGAUGAUGUGAUAUUACUUUUCAUGUCUUGGAAAUAUAUGAUAUUUGGAUAAUAAAACUGUAUUG
Long non-coding RNA from Lytechinus variegatus (green sea urchin), 2406 nucleotides. RefSeq lists it as uncharacterized. The transcript is spliced from 4 exons. The record is from RefSeq and is a predicted model, not a curated record. Lineage: Eukaryota; Metazoa; Echinodermata; Echinoidea; Temnopleuroida; Toxopneustidae.